This is a long non-coding RNA of Helianthus annuus (common sunflower), 362 nucleotides long. RefSeq lists it as uncharacterized. The record is from RefSeq and is a predicted model, not a curated record. Lineage: Eukaryota; Viridiplantae; Streptophyta; Magnoliopsida; Asterales; Asteraceae. The transcript is spliced from 3 exons.
ACAGGAGAAAAGAGGGUCUCCUUCUCAAGACCCCUAAAUCCAUCAAAUUGAUCAAAAUCAAGCUAAGAAAAUUGGGGCUUUAACUAAAUUCGUGAUCACCCAAGUGAAGGGAUCACAAGUUUGACGCUUAACGAGCUAGGUGGCGGCUUGGGAAACGAAGCAAGUCAAACGGAUCGGGUGCGCGGAAAAGAACAUAACCGGAUGCAAUGUGAAGGUCAAGAGUACCCGGAUGGAGAUCAAGCGACGAAAAGGACGGAACACUCAUCAUUUGAAGCUUCCGCUAAGAGAUCAUUAUGUUUUAUUUUAAAAUGAUCUAUGUAAACAAUUGUUACUUUAAUUUGAAAACUCUACUUCUGUAUGAA